RNAcentral lists this ribosomal RNA (316 nucleotides) under uncultured Tomentella. RNAcentral describes it as "eukaryotic LSU rRNA". The stretch from base 261 to 316 matches the Rfam family "Eukaryotic large subunit ribosomal RNA", at positions 1 to 56 of the family's 3401-position model. The record is from RNAcentral. Lineage: Eukaryota; Fungi; Basidiomycota; Agaricomycetes; Thelephorales; Thelephoraceae.
UGGUUAUUCCUCGGGGCAUGCCUGUUUGAGUAUCAUGAACACCUCAACUCUCAUGGUCUUCCAUGACGAGCUUGGACUUUGGGGGUUUGCUGGCCCUGCGGCUGGCUCCUCUCAAAUGAAUCAGCUUGCCAGUGUUUGGCGGCAUCUCACGGGUGUGAUAACUAUCUACGCUCGCGGUUGUCUGCCAGGUAACCCUCAGCGAUGAAGGUUCAUUGGGGCUCAUAAACGUCUCUCCUCGGCGAGGACAACCUUUGAAAGUUCGAUCUCAAAUCAGGUAGGAAUACCCGCUGAACUUAAGCAUAUCAAUAAGCGGAGG